Non-coding RNA from Felis catus (domestic cat), 85 nucleotides. Lineage: Eukaryota; Metazoa; Chordata; Mammalia; Carnivora; Felidae. The record is from Rfam.
GCCUGGGUGGCUCAGUCGGUUAAGCGUCCGACUUCAGCUCAGGUCGUGAUCUUGCGGUCCGUGGGUUCGAGCCCCGCGUCGGGCU